This 638-nucleotide long non-coding RNA is filed under the name Citrus x clementina. RNAcentral's name for it is "Citrus clementina (C. clementina) long non-coding RNA (CCLE_LNC002256)". The record is from RNAcentral. Lineage: Eukaryota; Viridiplantae; Streptophyta; Magnoliopsida; Sapindales; Rutaceae.
UUUUAUCUGUACCAUUACCGUAAAUUAUUAUUGCUUUGCCCGUGGCUACGUAAUUGAAUCACUAUAAAUAUCUGAUCAAACCAGAAACAACAACUCGAUCAAGCUCAACUAAAGUUUUGAUUUCGCUUCAUUCACCGUAAGCUAGCAGAGAUUUUCCCCUUUCUACUUUGAAGAAUAUGGAAACUAUUUGCGCAGGUUUGUAGCCCAUGUUCAAUUGAACAUCAUUCAUAAUUCUUAUUUUAAUAUAUGCAUUUAUUAUUAUUUUAACAUAUGCAUUUAUAAAUAUAUUUUUUAAUAUUAAAUUUUCAGGUAAGAACGAAUGGUCAGAGAGUGAGUACUCACAUUUUAGUAGCAUUGCUGAUGAUGAGGAUGUGAAAAAUGACAAUCUUAAUCUUCUUAUUGUCCCGCAAUAUGGAAGAAAUCCUGACUCUACUGGUUAAAUACAUAUAAUAUUAUUCUUUUAUGUUUAAUUAAAUAAAAGGACGGAUAUUACUAUUACCUGUCAAUCAUGUGAGUGUCGUUUUGGUUCAGUUCAACUAUUAAGAUUUCUUGAGAUGUUCAAGAAAUUAUCUUUGUUAGUGUCCAUGUACUAAGUCUUUCUUAAUAAAUAAAAUUAUUCCGUGUCAAUGUGUUAUUUA